GACGAACGCUGGCGGCGUGCUUAACACAUGCAAGUCGAGCGGUAAGGCCCUUUCGGGGGUACACGAGCGGCGAACGGGUGAGUAACACGUGGGUGACCUGCCCUCAGCUCUGGGAUAAGCCUGGGAAACCGGGUCUAAUACCGGAUAUGACUCCAUGACGCAUGUUGUGGGGUGGAAAGCCUUGUGCGGCUGAGGAUGGGCCCGCGGCCUAUCAGCUUGUGGUGGGGUGAUGGCCUACCAAGGCGACGACGGGUAGCCGGCCUGAGAGGCGACCGGCCACACUGGGACUGAGACACGGCCCAGACUCCUACGGGAGGCAGCAGUGGGGAAUCUUGCGCAAUGGGCGAAAGCCUGAACGCAGCGACGCCGCGUGA
RNAcentral lists this ribosomal RNA (374 nucleotides) under uncultured bacterium. RNAcentral describes it as "bacterial SSU rRNA". It matches the Rfam family "Bacterial small subunit ribosomal RNA", at positions 28 to 404 of the family's 1533-position model. The record is from RNAcentral.